RNAcentral lists this small RNA (78 nucleotides) under Flavobacterium aquidurense. RNAcentral describes it as "Flavo-1 RNA". It matches the Rfam family "Flavo-1 RNA". The record is from RNAcentral. Lineage: Bacteria; Pseudomonadati; Bacteroidota; Flavobacteriia; Flavobacteriales; Flavobacteriaceae.
CCCUAGCCCUGAUGGCAGCGGUAUCCUUUUUCUGGCUUCUUUAGCCAGGAAAAGAUAUAGCGGACAGCAGGAUUAGCU